AUUGAACGCUGGCGGCAUGCUUUACACAUGCAAGUCGAACGGCAGCACGGGCUUCGGCCUGGUGGCGAGUGGCGAACGGGUGAGUAAUGCAUCGGAACGUGCCCAUUUGUGGGGGAUAACUACGCGAAAGCGUGGCUAAUACCGCAUACGCCCUGAGGGGAAAGCGGGGGAUUCUUCGGAACCUCGCGCAAUUGGAGCGGCCGAUGUCAGAUUAGCUUGUUGGUGAGGUAAAGGCUCACCAAGGCGACGAUCUGUAGCGGGUCUGAGAGGAUGAUCCGCCACACUGGGACUGAGACACGGCCCAGACUCCUACGGGAGGCAGCAGGUGGGGAAUCUUGCGCAAGUGGGGGAAACCCUGACGCAGCAACGCCGCGUGAGUGAGGAAGGCCGUUCGGGUCGUAAAGCUCUGUCAGAGUGGGAAAGAAAUGGAUGGGGGCUAAUAUCGCCCAUCCUUGACGGUACCAUCAGAGGAAGCACCGGCUAACUCCGUG
Molecule: ribosomal RNA, 491 nt
Filed under: uncultured bacterium
Lineage: Bacteria
Description: bacterial SSU rRNA
Rfam family: Bacterial small subunit ribosomal RNA
Source: RNAcentral